AUCCGUUAUCGUGAAGCAGUGUUU
This 24-nucleotide small nuclear RNA is filed under the name Arabidopsis thaliana (thale cress). RNAcentral's name for it is "snRNA_15305". The record is from RNAcentral. Lineage: Eukaryota; Viridiplantae; Streptophyta; Magnoliopsida; Brassicales; Brassicaceae.